Molecule: ribosomal RNA, 252 nt
Filed under: uncultured bacterium
Lineage: Bacteria
Description: partial 16S ribosomal RNA
Rfam family: Bacterial small subunit ribosomal RNA
Source: RNAcentral
UACGUAGGGGGCAAGCGUUAUCCGGAUUCAUUGGGCGUAAAGCGCUCGUAGGCGGUCUGUUAGGUCGGGAGUUAAAUCCGGAGGCUCAACCUCCGUUCGCUCCCGAUACCGGCAGACUUGAGUUUGGUAGGGGAAGGUGGAAUUCCUAGUGUAGCGGUGGAAUGCGCAGAUAUUAGGAAGAACACCAGUGGCGAAGGCGGCCUUCUGGGCCACAACUGACGCUGAGGAGCGAAAGCUAGGGGAGCAAACAGG